AAAUCGGUUCUUUUUAGAGCCACCAUUAUGUACAAAGCCGACCAAG
Molecule: non-coding RNA, 46 nt
Organism: Habropoda laboriosa
Lineage: Eukaryota; Metazoa; Arthropoda; Insecta; Hymenoptera; Apidae
Source: Rfam